UGGUGGAGCGAUUUGUCUGGUUAAUUCCGAUAACGAACGAGACUCUGGCCUAUUAAAUAGUUCGCCGAUUCCGAUCUGUCGGCGUUAACUUCUUAGAGGGACAAGUGGCUUUUAGCCACGCGAGAUUGAGCAAUAAUA
Molecule: ribosomal RNA, 138 nt
Filed under: uncultured eukaryote
Lineage: Eukaryota
Description: partial 18S ribosomal RNA
Rfam family: Eukaryotic small subunit ribosomal RNA
Source: RNAcentral